RNAcentral lists this ribosomal RNA (274 nucleotides) under uncultured bacterium. RNAcentral's name for it is "partial 16S ribosomal RNA". It matches the Rfam family "Bacterial small subunit ribosomal RNA", at positions 523 to 796 of the family's 1533-position model. The record is from RNAcentral.
AUACGAAGGGGGCAAGCGUUGUUCGGAAUAACUGGGCGUAAAGCGCACGUAGGCGGAAUGUUAAGUUAGAGGUGAAAUCCCAGGGCUCAACCCUGGAACGGCCUUUAAUACUGGCAAUCUAGAGACCGAGAGAGGUGAGUGGAAUUCCGUGUGUAGAGGUGAAAUUCGUAGAUAUUCGGAGGAACACCAGUGGCGAAGGCGGCUCACUGGCUCGGUACUGACGCUGAGGUGCGAAAGCGUGGGGAGCAAACAGGAUUAGAUACCCCAGUAGUCC